Long non-coding RNA from Nycticebus coucang (slow loris), 1604 nucleotides. RefSeq lists it as uncharacterized. The record is from RefSeq and is a predicted model, not a curated record. The transcript has 4 exons. Lineage: Eukaryota; Metazoa; Chordata; Mammalia; Primates; Lorisidae.
GAGGAGAGAAGCAAGAAAGGUGAUGAGGGCAGCAGUGAGAAAGAGUAGGGUCCCUGGCACCUGGUCUCCUACCUCCUGCACUUAGGAGGUCCCUCUGGCCUACUCUAUCUCAUCCCAGUGCAUUCUAGACCAGGCAUGUAGCCCUGGCCAAGUCCCUCUCCUGUCUCAUCACCCUGUACUGGAGGGAAUUCCUGAAGCAGGCCAUGUGCUCCUCCUACGCCAGGAGGGCUGAGGGCUGUCCUUACAAAGAGCUGAGUCAGCAGGUCUCCCCCACCCCAUGCUGGGCAAAGUCAAAUGCAAGCACCUCCUACCCGAGGGAACUUUGGCCCCAGCCCUGAGAUAAGCUCAGAUGAGAAGACGACAGGAAAGGUGCACAGGGAAACAGCUAGAUGAGCUGGCAUCCAUAAGUGAGAAUGGAUAUGAAUGACAACAGUCACGGAUCAGCAGACUUUUGAAAACUCUGCUGUUUGAUAUCACAUCAGUAAGAACGGAUCAUCUCUUGCCUGGAGGAACUUUUUGUCAUUUUGACAAAAAGAAGUUGCCUCAAUUUCCAAUCCAGGUGCACACUUCAGAUAAGUGGUUUUGGAGACACGUCACCCCACCUAGCCUUUAUCUACCUUUAGUUCCAAGAAAACAGAACCUUGGAUCCAAUUCCCAGCGGAGAUUUGAGUUUGAACUCCUGAGCCCUCAUCCUAACCCCAUCCCUGCAGGUCCUAGGCCCCUUAUCCCAGAGCCCCCGCAGGCUGUUCCCUCCCUAAUCCUCCCAGGGCAACAUCGUCUGUCUAAUUCACUACCCACUCCAGUCCCUAUGCUCUCUCAUUACAGGCUCCCUCUUCAUGUUUCCCACUUUGUACCUCCCGGCCAAUUACGUGCCCCCACCCCAUGAGCGUCCACCUACUUCCCCCGUUAACGCCUAGAGCUCCUUUCCAAGGGGUCCCAUCCUCCUCUGCCCCCCGAAGCGGAACCCCAGGGCCGGAAGAUAAGCGCCGAGCCGGACAGGCUGCGCGCGAGUGGGCUUCCCGGAAGUGCAUCUCCCCCCAGGGUCCCCCAGUCCCCCGGAGAGGGGCUGCGAACCAACCUGCGUUGGUGCGGCUGCGGCCAUGAUCCGUGUGGCGGGUAACAGUGCACGCCCGGGGCGCGGCCGGGGAGAAAGACGUUCCGGCCCCGCCCCGCUCACACCCCCUCCCGGGAGAGGGCCGCCUGCCUGGCACCCCAGGCCCGCAAGGCCUCCCCGGCUAUAUGGCUCCCGAGGGGAGCUGGCCUCGGCUGUGAGCGCGAGCGCUAGAAGGGAUAGGACUUUAAACGGUCCCCUCCAAGCUCUGUUCCUGCCACACUGAUACCCCACAGGAGCGUGCCUACAGCGGUUUUCACAGACUGUCGCCGAACUCUGGCCAAGAAUAAGCAGCCCAAGCCAGGGACCCCACGUGUCCUCCCCCGCACUCAGAAGUCUCAGCCUCAGCCACUCUUUCUGACCCAGAUGUCUCGACCUCCCACUACCUCCUCCUUCCGGACUUUUAAAACCACCUACCUUUCUGCUCCACAGGCAGUGUCAAAACUCCUUUUCCCUAAGGGCCAAGAAUAAAGAGGAGGCCCUUUGGAUUCUC